CCAGACUCCUACGGGAGGCAGCAGUGAGGAAUAUUGGUCAAUGGCCGGGAGGCUGAACCAGCCAAGUCGCGUGAGGGAAGACGGCCCUACGGGUUGUAAACCUCUUUUGUCAGGGAGCAAGGUGCAGGUCGGGACCUGCUGUGAGAGUACCUGAAGAAAAAGCAUCGGCUAACUCCGUGCCAGCAGCCGCGGUAAUACGGAGGAUGCGAGCGUUAUCCGGAUUUAUUGGGUUUAAAGGGUGCGCAGGCGGAGGCACAAGGCAGGGGUAAAAGCGCGGGGCUCACCCCCGCUCCGCCGUUGAAACUGUGUCCCUUGAGUGCGCGAAGGGUAGGCGGAAUGCGUGGUGUAGCGGUGAAAUGCAUAGAUAUCGCGCAGAACCCCGAUUGCGAAGGCAGCGUACCGGCUCCACACUGACGCUGAGGCACGAAAGCGUGGGUAUCGAACAGGAUUAGAUACCCCAGUAGCU
RNAcentral lists this ribosomal RNA (466 nucleotides) under uncultured bacterium. Its description in RNAcentral is "bacterial SSU rRNA". It matches the Rfam family "Bacterial small subunit ribosomal RNA", at positions 331 to 795 of the family's 1533-position model. The record is from RNAcentral.